GACGAACGCUGGCGGCGUGCUUAACACAUGCAAGUCGAACGGUAAGGCCCUUCGGGGUACACGAGUGGCGAACGGGUGAGUAACACGUGGGUGAUCUGCCCUGCACUUCGGGAUAAGCCUGGGAAACUGGGUCUAAUACCGGAUAGGACCAUGCGCUUCUCGGUGUGUGGUGGAAAGCUUUUGCGGUGUGGGAUGGGCCCGCGGCCUAUCAGCUUGUUGGUGGGGUAAUGGCCUACCAAGGCGACGACGGGUAGCCGGCCUGAGGGGGUGACCGGCCACACUGGGACGAAGAUCCGGCCCAGACUCCUGCGGGAGGCAGCAGUGGGGAAUAUUGCACAAUGGGCGCAAGCCUGAUGCAGCGACGCCGCGUGAGGGAUGACGGCCUUCGGGUUGUAAACCUCUUUCAGUAGGGACGAAGCGCAAGUGACGGUACCUACAGAAGAAGGACCGGCCAACUACGUGCCAGCCGCCGCCGUAA
RNAcentral lists this ribosomal RNA (478 nucleotides) under uncultured bacterium. RNAcentral describes it as "partial 16S ribosomal RNA". It matches the Rfam family "Bacterial small subunit ribosomal RNA", at positions 28 to 523 of the family's 1533-position model. The record is from RNAcentral.